This is a non-coding RNA of Rattus norvegicus (Norway rat), 1367 nucleotides long. Lineage: Eukaryota; Metazoa; Chordata; Mammalia; Rodentia; Muridae. The record is from RefSeq and is a predicted model, not a curated record.
GUGUUCCCCAACUUACCAUGGUUUGACUCUAUCAUGGCGGAAAUGCAAUUCAGCAGAAACUGCACCCUGCAUUUUUUAAUUUGCACCAUUUCCCUGGGCUCCCUGGACAGCAUCGAUGUGUCCAGGUUUCCCCUUGGCACCGCCAUUUACAGCAAGUUUCAGCUGGUAUAGUCACAAGCAGUUCACAGACAGCCCACACGGAACUUCCCUGGAGUGUUUACAGUAAUGUGCGAGGUGAACACGAAUGGGUCGCCGUCAUAAGAGUGUAUGCUGGGGCAGCCAAUCAAAGACCCAGGGAUGCACCAAGCUGUCUCUGCCAACCCCCACCCUACCUGUGACCACUCUGUUCUGAGCACGCAGUAAAGGCCAGUUCAGAUCAAUGGGAGCAGCAGCAGCUCGGCUGGGAGCAGCUGGUUUCCUGCUAAUUGACACUGAAGGUGCAGCCAACAGGAAAAUGUAGGACGAAAUUAAAAUCAUUAUUUGUGCCUUCUUCUUUCAGUCUUCGUCUCUUGCCUUGGUCACACUCGUUAGAUGGAAAUGGAUUUUCCAUGUAAGUCAGCUUUCCAUUCCUAAACAAAAUAACUGAGAAAACUCAGAAGGGGAAAAGGUUUACGGUUCUCAACGUUUCUGGCCAUGGUUGCUUGGCCUCCUUGCUUUGGGCCUAGAGCAAGACAGCACACCAUGUGAGACACAUGAUACAGGGGAAGCCCAUUACUGUAUGAUGGGCAAACAAAUAAGAAAGAGUAAAACAAUAAAUACAAUACAAAACUGGAGUGAGGGCAUGGUGGUACACACCUUUAAACCCAGGAAAGGAGGGCAGAGGCAGGGGGAAUCGCUGAGUUCAAGGCUAGCCUAGUUUACACAGUGAGUUGCAGGACAGCCUGAAACUGUCCUACACAGAGAAACCCUGUCUUUAAAAACAACAACAGUAAGAAAGAAAAAAAUUCAUUGGUGAUUUAAACCCCCUGCCAUGCCAUAGCUCUUUUGUUUCUGCCACUUUCUAACCAAGCUGGAGAUUAAUUUUGAGAACAUGGCUUUGAGGUGCAUUCAAGGUCCAGACUGCAGGAAGUACAAGGCAGGAAAUAUAAUGGAAACUGAAGAUAUUUCAUGAGCAAUCCUUGGACAUUUAGUGUGUGGACAGUGGUUUUCAGUGCAUGCACAAGGCCCCAUUAUGAGCCCACGGUGCCAAACCUGCACAUAACAAACUAAGCUGCAUUUGCCGCCUCUCGCUCUCUUUGUCUCUCAAGUCAGAGUGUGAAAGAGCUUUGAUCGUGUUUGAGAUUUCAGCAGACUGACCACAGGGGAGAAGAGAGAAGUCAAGUAGCUUCUGUUCAAAGAAGACACUGGAAAUGAAGAGCUUGCAAAAA